This is a non-coding RNA of Oryza barthii, 205 nucleotides long. The record is from Rfam. NCBI's taxonomy places the organism in Eukaryota, Viridiplantae, Streptophyta, Magnoliopsida, Poales, Poaceae.
AAAAAAAAAAACUCUGGGUUUCCGUGUCCAACUUUGACUGUCUGUCUUAUAUAAAUUUUUUUUAUAAUUUGUAUUUUCAUUGUUGUUAGAUGAUAAAACAUGAUUAAUAUUUUAUACGUGAUUUGUCUUUUUAAUUUUUUUCAUAAUUUUUUAAAAUAAGACGGAUGGUCAAACGUUGGACACGGAAACCAGGGUUUGUCUUUUU